CCUCGGGGGGCUGCAGUGGGGAAUAUUGGACAAUGGGCGAAAGCCUGAUCCAGCCAUGCCGCGUGUGUGAAGAAGGCCUUCGGGUUGUAAAGCACUUUCAGUGGGGAAGAAAGCCUUGGGGCUAAUACCCUCGAGGAAGGACAUCACCCACAGAAGAAGCACCGGCUAACUCCGUGCCAGCAGCCGCGGUAAUACGGAGGGUGCGAGCGUUAAUCGGAAUUACUGGGCGUAAAGCGCGCGUAGGCGGUCUGAUAAGCCGGUUGUGAAAGCCCCGGGCUCAACCUGGGAACGGCAUCCGGAACUGUCAGGCUAGAGUGCAGGAGAGGAAGGUAGAAUUCCCGGUGUAGCGGUGAAAUGCGUAGAGAUCGGAAGGAAUACCAGUGGCGAAGGCGGCCUUCUGGACUGACACUGACGCUGAGGUGCGAAAGCGUGGGUAGCAAACAGGAUUAGAUACCCCGGUAGU
This 463-nucleotide ribosomal RNA is filed under the name Vreelandella stevensii. RNAcentral describes it as "partial 16S ribosomal RNA". It matches the Rfam family "Bacterial small subunit ribosomal RNA", at positions 339 to 794 of the family's 1533-position model. The record is from RNAcentral. Lineage: Bacteria; Pseudomonadati; Pseudomonadota; Gammaproteobacteria; Oceanospirillales; Halomonadaceae.